UUUAAGUGAAAUUAUAGUUUCUGUAUCUAAUUUUAAUCGUUCGUCUUAUUUAAUUUUUUUAUAAUUCGUAUUUUUUUAUUAUGAGAUCAUAAAACAUGAGUAGUAUUUUACUCGUGACUUAUAUUUUUAAAUUUUUUUAAAUAAGACGGACGAUCAAAGUUGAACGCGAAAUUUAAAAAGGGACGGAGG
Molecule: microRNA precursor, 189 nt
Organism: Oryza sativa Japonica Group (Japanese rice)
Lineage: Eukaryota; Viridiplantae; Streptophyta; Magnoliopsida; Poales; Poaceae
Rfam family: MIR812 microRNA precursor family
Source: Rfam